AGAUGACACUAGGGGUGGUUACUUAAUAACCUGAGACAAAUUUUUGAACCCUUUGAACCUGAAUAAGUUAAGACUUACGUAGGAAAGUGGUUGAGAUAACUG
Molecule: non-coding RNA, 102 nt
Filed under: Weissella oryzae
Lineage: Bacteria; Bacillati; Bacillota; Bacilli; Lactobacillales; Lactobacillaceae
Also listed under: 1 other name
Description: TPP sequence
Rfam family: TPP riboswitch aptamer (THI element)
About the family: Vitamin B(1) in its active form thiamin pyrophosphate (TPP) is an essential coenzyme that is synthesised by coupling of pyrimidine and thiazole moieties in bacteria.
Source: RNAcentral